CGGGGGCAGCGGCGGCCCCGGGAGCCCGGCCCCGCUCCUCAGGCUGCGCUCCCCCGGCCUUGCUCCCCCGGCCCCGCUCCUCCAGCCCCGGGAGCCCGGCCUUGCUCCUCCGGCCCCGCAGUCCCGGUCCCCGGAGCCCGGCCCCGCUCCUUAGGCCCGCGGCCCCGCUCCUCCGGCCCCGCUGUCCCGGUCCCCGGAGCCCGGCCCCGCUCCUCAGGCUGCGCUCCCCCGGCCCUGGGAGCCCGGCCUUGCUCCUCCGGCCCCGCAGUCCCGGUCCCCGGAGCCCGGCCCCGCUCCUUAGGCCCCCGGCCCUGCUCCUCAGGCCCCGCUCCUCAGGCCCCGCUCCUCCGGUCCCAUUCCCCCGGCCCUGCUCCCCCGGCCCCGCUCCUCAGAUCGCGUUCCUCCGGCCCCGCUCCUCAGGUGCCGUUCCUCCGGCCCCGCUCCUCAGGCUGCGCUCCUCAGGCCCCGCUCCUCAAAUCCCGUUCCCCGACCCUGCUCCCCCGACCCCGCUCCUCAGGCCCCGCUCCUCAAAUCCCGUUCCCCGACCCCGCUCCCCCGGCCCCGCUCCUCAGGCCCCGCUCCUCAGGCCCCGCUCCUCAAAUCCCGUUCCCCGGCCCCGCUCCCCCGGCCCCGCUCCUCAGGCCCCGCUCCUCAGGUCCCGCUCCCCCGGCCCUGCUCCCCCGGCCCUGCUCCCCCGGCCCCGCUCCUCAGGCCCCGCUCCCCCGGCCCCGCUCCUCAGGCCCCGCUCCCCCGGCCCCGCUCCUCAAAUCCCGUUCCCCGGCCCCGCUCCCCCGGCCCCGCUCCCCCGGCCCCGCUCCCCCGGCCCCGCUCCCCCGACCCCGCUCCCCCGGCCCCGCUCCCCCGGCCCCGCUCCCCCGGCCCCGCUCCCCCGCCCCGCUCCCCCGGCCCCGCUCCCCCGGCCCUUCUCCCCCGGCCCCGCUCCUCAGGCCCCGCUCCCCCGGCUGUGCCGGGCCGGGAGAGCUCCUGCCGGCGAUGGGAUGCUCAGAGGGGGAUCAGAGCGGCUGGUGGGGAACGCUCAGGGAAUUCCGUGCAAAUCCAUCGCUCCGAGCCGCGGGUUUAUUGGGAAUGAGGAGCUGGAGCUCCUCAGGCCACGAGCAAACGCUGCCGUUCCCGGGUUUCCAUUUCCCUGGGUCACGGCGGAUGCCCCGCUCUGUUCCCUGCUCUCAGUUUUGUCUGGAUAAAUCCAUCGGGAUGCGAUCACUCACACAGGGAGGGAUUCGCAGCCCUCGGGGCUUUGCACUCGCUGGGGUUCGGAGUUUUGGGUCUGAAUCGGGAGGUGCAUCCUGCCACGGGCAGGGACAUUUUCCCAGGAUUAUCCCAGGUUGCUCCCAGCCCUGUCCAACCUGGCCUUGGACACUUCCAGGGAUGUGGCAGCCACAGCCAGGGCCUCCCCACCCUCACAGGGAAGAAAGUCUGAGGCUCCAAACCCCUCCUGGGGGGCUUGGUCCGGGCACGGAGGCUCCACCAUGCCUGGGAUGGGAGCUCUGUGUGUCACAGCCCGUCCCCGUUCCCUUGGAUGUGCACGCUGUGACACGGGAUGGGAGCAGGACCAUCCCUGGCAGCUGCCGUGUGUUCCACUGAGGAAUUCUGGCCUGGGAUUCUGCUCCUAACAAAGCUGAGGGGGCUCCCAGAAGCAGCAGAAGGGAGGUUUUGGUCCCUCUCGAGGAGCAGGGGACCCUCCCCACUCCAUCCCUGCUCACCCCCCUGGGGUGGCACCUGGGAAAAUAUCCCUGAAAAGCGGAGGAGAUCACCGAGAUAACGGAGCCACUUAAUCUUACCAGGACCCUGCUUGUCACCCUGUGCUACGUGGCUCUAAGCAGGGCUGGCCACGGCCUGGCUGGUGUCCCCUGGUGUCCCCUGGUGUCCCCCCGGGCUCUCCGGGCUCCGGCUGCUGCUCCAUGAAUAAUGCACGUCCCACAGAGAGCCGCGGCUCCGGUGUCAGGAGUCCGAGUUAAAAAUUAACGGGGCUGAGACCGGAUCCCCCCCACAGGACAAUGGUGCGGCAGACGGGGCCGGGCUGGUGUCCCCUUACUGCCCGUGGCUCGUGUGGCUCGUGUCACCAGCAGCCAGGGAGGUGACAGGUGUGUGACGAGGCCGGUGAUGGUGUCCCCAAAACCUGGGGUGAGGGUCCCGCGUGUGCUGUGGUGAUGGGAGCUGCUGGUUCUGGCUUAAAAAUCCCAAAGUGAGCCAAACCCAGCCCAACCCAGUCCAGCUGAACCCACCUGAGUCCAGUCUAACCCAACCCAGCCCAGCUGAACCCAACUGAGUCCAGUCUAACCCAACCCAGCUGAACCCAACUGAGGUGAGUCCAGUCUAACCCAACCCAGCCCAGCUGAACCCAACUGAGUCCAGUCUAACCCAACCCAGCCAGCUGAACCCAACUGAGUCCAGUCUAACCCAACCCAGCCCAGCCCAGCUGAACCCAACUGAGGUGAGUCCACUCUAACCCAGCCCAGCCCAGCUGAACCCAACUGAGUCCAGUCUAACCCAACCCAGCCCAGCUGAACCCAACUGAGUCCAGUCUAACCCAACCCAGCCCAGCUGAACCCAACUGAGGUGAGUCCAGUCUAACCCAACCCAGCCCAGCUGAACCCAACUGAGUCCAGUCUAACCCAACCCAGCCCAGCCCAGCUGAACCCAACUGAGUCCAGUCUAACCCAACCCAGCCCAGCUGAACCCAACUGAGUCCAGUCUAACCCAACUCAGCCCAGCUGAACCCAACUGAGGUGAGUCCAGUCUAACCCAACCCAGCUCAGCUGAACCCAACUGAGUCCAGUCUAACCCAACCCAGCUCAGCUGAACCCAACUGAGUCCAGUCUAACCCAACCCAGCCCAGCUGAACCCAACUGAGGUGAGUCCAGUCUAACCCAACCCAGCCCAGCUGAACCCAACUGAGUCCAGUCUAACCCAACCCAGCCCAGCCCAGCUGAACCCAACUGAGGUAAGUCCAGUCUAACCCAACCCAGCCCAGCUGAACCCAACUGAGUCCAGUCUAACCCAACCCAGCCCAGCCCAGCUGAACCCAACUGAGAUUCUGUACCGCACUGGUGUGUAAACUCUGAACUCCACACAGAGUGUCAGCAGUUCUCCUCACAGCUCAGUCACACACAACAACCCUUCUCCAGCCCCAGAACCACGGACACCGCUGCAGCUUCAGCCCCAAAAAGCGCAAACAGCGAAUUAAGGAGAGCAACCUGGCAGGAUGGGACUGCACAACCUGGAGCUGCAGUUGGACGAUGAACCCCAAUACGGAAAUGGACCAAAACUUACAAAACUCAUGGCCUGGAACCCAGCUUGGGUGUAGCCACGGCCGGGCUCUUGUCCCGCCCAAGCUGUACCCGUGGAGGGAUUCAAUAAAUCCAUGUUUAUUCCUUUA
Vidua chalybeata is the source of this 3397-nucleotide long non-coding RNA. RefSeq lists it as uncharacterized. The record is from RefSeq and is a predicted model, not a curated record. The transcript has 2 exons. Lineage: Eukaryota; Metazoa; Chordata; Aves; Passeriformes; Viduidae.